AGAUAUUCCCACAAUAUUUUUUCCUGUUUGAAAUACUGCUUUCCCUGGACAACAUAUUCAUUCUGCAGAACACAAACUAGCUUAAAAAAGGAAAUACUACAAAUGUUUAUAAAAGUACUUUUAAACUUCCAGGAAAAGUAUAAAAGCAAAAGAGCAAAAGAUUAAUUUAAAAUUCUCUAAGCUGCCAAGACUUAGCUGCAAGACUGCUUCAUAAAGAGCGUUUACUUCAAGUUAUGUACAGCAAAAAGCUUAAUGGCAAAUCCCAUAGAAAACUUUGAUUACAUUGAACUAUUUUUCUCUAUUUGAUAAAUAGAAGAUAUUUUCCCCAAAACAACUGUGUUCUGGACAUCACUGGCAUUGCGCAAGCUGUUUGCACACAUCAAUAGAGGAGUAUAACCUUCAAUAUGGAGGUUUAAACCUUCAAUUAAGACAUUUAUAAAUUGAAUUCUAUCUCAACAUCCAACAAUCAAAUGCAACUCUUGUUCCAAAGCCUGCGUGAAGAUUCGGAGCAACUUACAGAUCACAGAAUUCACAGCUCCUCUCUAAAGGAUUCAACAGAACUACCAUAAGGAUACACAAUACAUUCCAUAAGCUGGAGGAGUACCCAUUGCUUUAAUUUCUCCAUGUUCUUCACUGUACCCUUGAGAUGGGAUAAUUACAUCAAGUCCCAAAAUCACUACCAUUGAUGCCUCCUAGAAGUCAGAAGCAUAUGGACUUCAUGCCUGUGAAGCCAAGAUUUUGUGCAGGAUCUUGUUCUGGGUACAAUUACACAGAGCUCUAAACCAGAUGGUUUCUAUUCUGUUGUAGAAAAAGGAUAAAUUUGACAUCCCUAAAACUGAAGCAGAUGAACCCAGAAUCUGUAGUCUGGGGUGCUCCUACCUACACCUCAAUUACUUAAA
This is a long non-coding RNA of Vidua macroura (Pin-tailed whydah), 899 nucleotides long. RefSeq lists it as uncharacterized. The record is from RefSeq and is a predicted model, not a curated record. Lineage: Eukaryota; Metazoa; Chordata; Aves; Passeriformes; Viduidae. The transcript has 3 exons.